Long non-coding RNA from Nanorana parkeri, 155 nucleotides. RefSeq lists it as uncharacterized. The record is from RefSeq and is a predicted model, not a curated record. The transcript is spliced from 2 exons. Lineage: Eukaryota; Metazoa; Chordata; Amphibia; Anura; Dicroglossidae.
UGGGUGAUGGGAAGAUUGAGGUGGGCCGCCCCCUGUGUCUACACCAUUGAUGUCACCUUCCCGAAGCCUCUGACCGUUAAUGAGCUCCCCUUUACGAACUUCUACACGGCGUUCCUGACGGUGAGGAUCCAGCAGAAGAAGCACUCCGACCCCAA